AUGGUGGCUGCAGCCCCCGGAGCCCCCUGGGGCCCGCUACCGUCCCCCACGGCCCACCGCGGGGCGGCCUGGCGAGGCAUCUGCGCUUCGGCCGUGCGGGGAGCUCGCUUUAUACCCGAGGCUUCAAUUGGCGGGAGACUCCACCUCCGGCCCGGGCCCGCCCCCUUGCAACUUGAGCCCGGAGGGAUCGCCCGGCGGCGCGGCCAAUGCCUUAGAAAUCGGGGCCGGGGGCGGGGCGGCCGGGCCGGGGGCCGGCGGGGCGGGGGCGGGGCGGGGCGGGGCGGGCCGCGGAGCCGGCGCUCGGGGGCGGGGGGCGCGGGGCGCGGGGCGCGGGGCGCCGCUGCCGCCCAGGACGGCGAGCCGCACCGGGCACCCGGGCGUCCGCCGGGGAGAUCCCGCGGCUCCCGCCCGCGCGAGCGCAGCGCGCGGCCUCGCUCCUGGCCGCCCGCCGCCGGCCCGCGCCCCCCUCGCCGCGCACCUGAGCCGAGCUCCCCGGCGGCCGCCGCGCCGCGCCGGAGCUCCGGUUCGCUUCCCGCGCGCCGCCGCCAACGCCGCCCCCGCCGCUGCUGCUCGUGCGGGGCCGCUGCCCAGGUGCCGCGGGAGCCCGGGGCCGCGGCCGCCGCGUCGCCGGCCCCGACCCCCGCCCCGCCGGGGCCGCGGGCCCGCCAGGAGGCAACUUUGGGCCCCCGCCGCCUCCCCCGUUCGCCCGCGGGCGCCGCUCGCCUCCCGGAGCCCGCCCGCCUCCCGCGCGCGCUCACACUCGCGCCUCGCACACGGCCGCCCCCCGCAGCGCCCCGCCACGCGCACCGCGCCCCGCGCCCCCGCCGCUGCCCGCGCCCGCCGCGCGCCGGCCCGGCCGCGCCCGCCCCGUCCCAUCGCGUCCCCGCUCGGCGCGGCCGUCCUCGGGUCAGCGGCCUCCGGGGCGCGGCGGGGAGGCGCGGAGGGCAGGGCCCGCGGGCCGGGGAGCGCCGGGCGCCGGGGCCGGGGAGCGCCGGGGGAGCCGCGCCGUGCCUGCGCCCCAGGCCGCCCGCGAGCGCUUCGGGCGCGGGGCGGCGGGCGCGGGGCGCGGGGCGCGGGGCGGCGGGCGCGGGGCGGCGGCGGCCCCGGCCCCGGCGGCUCUCCCACUAG
RNAcentral lists this long non-coding RNA (1128 nucleotides) under Canis lupus familiaris (dog). Its description in RNAcentral is "lncRNA (ENSCAFG00040007866.1)". The record is from RNAcentral. Lineage: Eukaryota; Metazoa; Chordata; Mammalia; Carnivora; Canidae.